This 403-nucleotide ribosomal RNA is filed under the name uncultured bacterium. Its description in RNAcentral is "partial 16S ribosomal RNA". It matches the Rfam family "Bacterial small subunit ribosomal RNA", at positions 30 to 526 of the family's 1533-position model. The record is from RNAcentral.
AUUGAACGCUGGCGGCAGGCCUAACACAUGCAAGUCGAGCGCGCGGCGGACGGGUGAGUAUUGUAUGGGGACUGCCCGUUAGAGGGGGAUAACUCCUGGAAAAGGUGGCUAAUACCGCAUAUUGCCUGAUAAUCCCUAUGGGAUUAGCUAGUAGGUAAGGUAAUGGCUUACCUAGGCGACGAUCCCUAGCUGGUCUGAGAGGAUGAUCAGCCACACUGGGACUGAGACACGGCCCAGACUCCUACGGAGGCAGCAGUGGGGAAUAUUGCACAAUGGGCGCAAGCCUGAUGCAGCCAUGCCGCGUGUAUGAAGAAGGCCCUAGGGUUGUAAAGUACUUUCAGUCGGGAGGCGUUACCGACAGAAGAAGCACCGGCUAACUCCGUGCCAGCAGCCGCGGUAAUUC